Molecule: ribosomal RNA, 192 nt
Filed under: Triticum aestivum (bread wheat)
Lineage: Eukaryota; Viridiplantae; Streptophyta; Magnoliopsida; Poales; Poaceae
Description: partial small subunit ribosomal RNA
Source: RNAcentral
AUGACAUGCAUUUUGAAGACCAUGAGUUCGAGGUGGACGAGGAGGGUGAGGGCAUUGUCGACGCACCGAAAGGAAGAGCGGGCGAUUACACCAACACCGAUGACAUCUUACUAUGCAAUACUUGGUUGCAAGUGUCGAGGGAUCCAUCCGUUGGAGGCGAUCAAAGUAGAGAUGCUUAUUGGAACCAGAUGA